Molecule: ribosomal RNA, 462 nt
Filed under: uncultured bacterium
Lineage: Bacteria
Description: partial 16S ribosomal RNA
Rfam family: Bacterial small subunit ribosomal RNA
Source: RNAcentral
GAUGAACGCUGACAGAAUGCUUAACACAUGCAAGUCUUUGGCGAAGCUGUGCUUGCACAGCCUAGCCAAGGCGGACGGGUGAGUAACGCGUAAGGAACUUGCCCUGCAGUCAGGGAUAACAGACGGAAACGACUGAUAAGACCUGGUAAAGUCAGGCGGACUCAUGUCCAGCCUGAUGAAAAGAGAUGCUGCAGGAGAGCCUUGCGUCCUAUUAGCUUGUUGGUGGGGUAACGGCCCACCAAGGCGAUGAUAGGUAGCCGGCCUGAGAGGGUGGACGGCCACAAGGGGACUGAGAUACGGCCCUUACUCCUACGGGAGGCAGCAGUGGGGAAUAUUGGACAAUGGGGGCAACCCUGAUCCAGCAAUUCUGUGUGCACGAUGAAGGUUUUCGGAUUGUAAAGUGCUUUCAGCAGGGAAGAAAAAAUGACGGUACCUGCAGAAGAAGCGACGGCUAAAUACGUG